RNAcentral lists this transfer RNA (65 nucleotides) under Myxococcales bacterium. RNAcentral describes it as "tRNA-Phe". It matches the Rfam family "tRNA", at positions 9 to 71 of the family's 71-position model. From Rfam's summary of the family: Transfer RNA (tRNA) molecules are approximately 80 nucleotides in length. The record is from RNAcentral. Lineage: Bacteria; Pseudomonadati; Myxococcota; Myxococcia; Myxococcales.
AGCUCAGUUGGUAGAGCAGGGGACUGAAAAUCCCCGUGUCGGCGGUUCGAUUCCGUCCCUGGCCA